Molecule: ribosomal RNA, 336 nt
Filed under: Escherichia coli
Lineage: Bacteria; Pseudomonadati; Pseudomonadota; Gammaproteobacteria; Enterobacterales; Enterobacteriaceae
Also listed under: 1 other name
Description: partial 23S ribosomal RNA
Rfam family: Bacterial large subunit ribosomal RNA
Source: RNAcentral
GGCACUACGGUGCUGAAGCAACAAAUGCCCUGCUUCCAGGAAAAGCCUCUAAGCAUCAGGUAACAUCAAAUCGUACCCCAAACCGACACAGGUGGUCAGGUAGAGAAUACCAAGGCGCUUGAGAGAACUCGGGUGAAGGAACUAGGCAAAAUGGUGCCGUAACUUCGGGAGAAGGCACGCUGAUAUGUAGGUGAAGUCCCUCGCGGAUGGAGCUGAAAUCAGUCGAAGAUACCAGCUGGCUGCAACUGUUUAUUAAAAACACAGCACUGUGCAAACACGAAAGUGGACGUAUACGGUGUGACGCCUGCCCGGUGCCGGAAGGUUAAUUGAUGGGGU